RNAcentral lists this ribosomal RNA (440 nucleotides) under uncultured bacterium. RNAcentral describes it as "partial 16S ribosomal RNA". It matches the Rfam family "Bacterial small subunit ribosomal RNA", at positions 338 to 795 of the family's 1533-position model. The record is from RNAcentral.
CCUACGGGUGGCAGCAGUGGGGAAUAUUGCACAAUGGGCGAAACCCUGAUGCAGCGACGCCGCGUGAGGGAAGAAGGAUUUCGGUAUGUAAAGCUCUAUCAGCAGGGAAGAAAAUGACAGUACCUGACCAAGAAGCCCCGGCUAACUACGUGCAAGCAGCCGCGGUAAUACGGAGGGGGCAAGCGUUAUCCGGAUUUACUGGGUGUAAAGGGAGCGUAGACGGUUUGGUAAGUCUGGAGUGAAAGCCCGAGGCCCAACCCUGGGACUGCUUUGGAAACUGUGUAACUGGAGUACAGGAGGGGUAGGCGGAAUUCGUGGUGUAGCGGUGAAAUGCGUAGAUAUCAGGAGGAACACCGGUGGCGAAGGCGGCCUGCUGGACUGAAACUGACGUUGAGGCUCGAAAGCGUGGGGAGCAAACAGGAUUAGAUACCCGAGUAGUC